Molecule: ribosomal RNA, 729 nt
Filed under: uncultured bacterium
Lineage: Bacteria
Description: bacterial SSU rRNA
Rfam family: Bacterial small subunit ribosomal RNA
Source: RNAcentral
AACAGGAUUAGAUACCCUGGUAGUCCACGCCGUAAACGAUGAGUGCUAGCUGUAGGGAGCUAUAAGUUCUCUGUAGCGCAGCUAACGCAUUAAGCACUCCGCCUGGGGAGUACGACCGCAAGGUUGAAACUCAAAGGAAUUGACGGGGGCCCGCACAAGCGGUGGAGCAUGUGGUUUAAUUCGAAGCAACGCGAAGAACCUUACCAGGUCUUGACAUACUCGUGCUAUCCUUAGAGAUAAGGUGUUCCUUCGGGACACGGGAUACAGGUGGUGCAUGGUUGUCGUCAGCUCGUGACGUGAGAUGUUGGGUUAAGUCCCGCAACGAGCGCAACCCUUAUUACUAGUUGCCAUCAUUAAGUUGGGCACUCUAGUGAGACUGCCGGUGAUAAACCGGAGGAAGGUGGGGAUGACGUCAAAUCAUCAUGCCCCUUAUGACCUGGGCUACGCACGUGCUACAAUGGAUGGUACAACGAGUCGCCAACCCGCGAGGGUGCGCUAAUCUCUUAAAACCAUUCUCAGUUCGGAUUGCAGGCUGCAACUCGCCUGCAUGAAGUCGGAAUCGCUAGUAAUCGCGGAUCAGCACGCCGCGGUGAAUACGUUCCCGGGCCUUGUACACACCGCCCGUCACACCACGGAAGUUGGGAGUACCCAAAGUAGGUUGCCUAACCGCAAGGAGGGCGCUUCCUAAGGUAAGACCGAUGACUGGGGUGAAGUCGUAACAAGGUAACC